This 279-nucleotide small RNA is filed under the name Drosophila yakuba. RNAcentral describes it as "GE27706". The record is from RNAcentral. Lineage: Eukaryota; Metazoa; Arthropoda; Insecta; Diptera; Drosophilidae.
GUUGACUGCAGUCUUAAAAUUCAGUCUCCAAAAUGAACAGGUGGUUUGUCGUGACUUUCUUACUGACCAUCGGUCUACUAUCCGUUCUUUCUAUGGAUGACAAAGUGAUUGGCGAUAGAGAACUGAUCGAUAUAAGAUGAUGACGAACGUGAGCUCGCCUACAAACUUAUAGAUUGUCUAAGGGAAAACUUAAAAGCUUAUGCAUUUUUACAGUUUAUCCAUGCAUUAUGACUUAUAAAAUGUUUUCUCAAUUCUCAAAAAUAAAAUAUUAAAAACGUA